AUGCUGGGUCCAGCCCACCCGCCUCCCGCCCCGUGUCCCCCACCUGCUCUGGGCAGCAGAAGUGGCCAGAUGGGGAGACAGGAGCCUGCUGCUGUGCGCAGCUUCAUGGGCUGCGGACACCCCAAGGGGCUGGGGUCACACAGCUGGGAGGACGGGGGGUUCCAGACUCAGCUGCCCGCCCACCCUCAGGCCCCAGCGCACCCUCUGCUCUCCACCCGCAGCCCCAGCUCAAGAAGUCUUCAUCCCCCUCGCCCCUCGUGCCCCCUGCCUGCCCACAUUUUAGUGAGGGGAGGAGCUGAAGCUGCUCCGAUAGCCCUGAGCCUGGCUGGCUCCAGUGCCAGCAGGUGCCACCAGGGGACAGGGAGGAAGAGGACAGGCCGCUCCCUGUCCAGCGCACCAGCAGCACCAGACAUGGGCUCAGAGGGGAGGGAGACGCCCCUGGGGGCUUGGAGGGCACCGUCCAGGCCUUGCUGGGGCCCCUCCAAGGCCGCUGGGGCCGGUGCUGCCGCAGGAAGGGACAGGAUGUGCAUGGGGGCACACGUGCCAGAGGGAGCACAGCGGUCUGGGGGCUCGGUGCCACCUACCUGUGCUUGGCAGGAUGGGGCCACCCCGGCUCAGCCCUCGGGCCUGUCCUCCCACCUGGCCCUGGGCAGAAGGUGGGGAUUUGGGGCCACAGAUGCAUCCCUGUCCACCCUGCACACAGGGAGGACACCCAUCGGGGACCCUGCGUUUGCCUCCCACUCUGGGCAGCCGUGUCCCCCCGCAGAGCCCAGCCUCGUCGCCCAGGACGUCCCCACCACUGUGGCCCCACUCUGCCACGUGAGGCUCUCAGACACCACUUGGAGACUCUCCUGGCCCCAUCCACCAGGGGACAGCAGCACCGCGUGCCCAGGAUGGCGGGGCUGCGGAACAGGUCACACGUGUGUGUCCUGAGGCCUGGCGCAUCGGGGACUGAGCAUCUCGUCCUCGGAGGGGUCCAGGCAGCCACUGGUGAGGACGCGGUGGACACCUGGAGCAGGACAGGCCAUCCAUCCGCGAUGCUCCCAGCACUCGAGCUCCCCAUCCCCAGCACGGCCGGCGGAGGAAGAAGGGCCCACUCUGGUCUCGGGUCUCGGGUCUCAGGUCCCCGUCUCCGUCAGGGGGGCCUCACCGGGCAGCCGCCCUCCCUGCCAGGUGUCUCCCCGCCCAGGCCCCCAGGACUUGGGUCCUUGCACCCGCCCUGCGCACACGUGUUCCCCGUUCCCGUGAAGCUCGUGCCUGCAGCUGGUGGGAGGAGCCCAGCCCCCGGGGUAGCACACCGGCCCUGUUGUGCUUAGAGACCUGUGCGGGCGCUGCAGAAGGGAGCGGCCCGGGGCCCGCGGGCUGUCCGCACUCUGGGCCCGGCCUGGUCCGUGCUGGGCCUCGGGGCGGCGGGCUGAGUCCCCGACUCCACCACGGCCUCUGCGGGGCACACGGGGCCCGGGACCCAGGGCUCCCAUCCUCGGGCCCCAGCGUGUUGGCGGCGGUGGAGGAGGGUGCUCGUCAUCGAGCCGGUGGCCUCCACCGGCCUUUGCCCACUGGCCCCUGCCCCCGCUCCUCUGGCCCCUACCGGCAUCUGUUGGACGCUCGCUCUGGGGGUGCUUCUGGGUCCCCAAGUACAGAUGAGGAAACAGUCACUGCCGUGUUGCACGGCAGGGACCAGAACACUAGAAGACUCCAGAACCUUUUCCAGGGCUGCAGCUGCUCAAGCUGAGGGCGAAGGGAGCCGAGGGCCAGACCCCAAGAUGCUCCGCAUCCUCUGUCCCUCUGAAGCUGCGUGAGGCUGUUUUUCCGCUCGGGUCAAAGGGAUGGGACGGGUGACUCAGGUCCUUGCUCCAUCUGCCCCGCCCCUGCCCAGUAACCUGUGACCUCCACCCCCUGCACCAGGGUGUCACGGGGCAGACAAGGAGAAAGACAAGAAGGAAACCUUUGCCAUGGGACACGCCAUCAAGGACCAGAGCCCCAUCACCAUGAGGAAGCCCGGCCCAUCCCGAUGGAUGAGGCCCAACCAGGACCCAGGACAUCCCGGCUCCCUCACCCCCUGCCCCUCAGAGUCACACGCUCCCUGCCCCCUCCCGGAAUGCCCGCGGCCCCACCUCCUGCGAAUACACCACUCCUCCAGGCAUCUGCCCUGUUUGCUUCUCACAGUCCCUGGGCUGGCUCCUCCUCUGGCUUCAGGGGCCUGGCGCGACGGCAAGUCCUGGCAGUGACAAGGCUUUGAUGCAAAUAAAAGGAACUCGGAGCAGCUAAGGAAAGAGGGC
Molecule: long non-coding RNA, 2279 nt
Organism: Vulpes vulpes (red fox)
Lineage: Eukaryota; Metazoa; Chordata; Mammalia; Carnivora; Canidae
Source: Ensembl